UCUAGUGUUUAAUCUUUCAAGGUAAGUGUACGACCGUAGAUAGACUCGAUCUAACUAAUAAAAAGAUCAGGUGAAGAAAGUAAGUUUGUUUUGAAGUUCUGUGUAUUUCUUCCUAAAUUGCGAAUCUGGUCUAUUUCACAUGUUAGGUAGGGUAUCGAAUAGAUGCUAGCAUCUACAGUGAAGUAAUAAUUCUUUUGCAACUUUUACUCACAACUUAGCUUAUGACUGAAGCUUUCAGCCUAUGAGUGUAAUUCCACUUCCGUCUCCAAUUUAUAGUAGUAAUUGUGGUAUGAAUGAAAGACUGUUAUGCUGCAGAAAGUGAAUUCUAGCCAGAUAUUAGUACGGAUCUAAUGUCAAUGAUACCCCAACUGAAAUAAUUGAGCUAUACUCUCUGAGAUUAUUAACAUUAAUCUGAAGAGCUACAAGCUUUCUUGGAACCUUCUGCAGCUGAAGCAUUGCACCGAGCCAUCACUCUCUGUCAAUACGGAGAACGGGGAACUUGGACACCCAGAGUCGACCAUCGACACUAACUGAGAAAGUUGAGCUUUUGCAUUUUCCACUUCAAUGGAGCAAGGACUGUAUCCAGAAAGAGUCUCCUGUGCUUUCUUCAAGACUGACUUCUAUAUUUCUGCAGCAGAAGACAUCGUCAUAUUCAAGAACCUUUAUACAGAAACUGAACUCAAAAUCUAAUGAAGUCAAUGUGUAAGAACAAGAGAAUUGCCUGUAAAUGGCUCUUG
Molecule: long non-coding RNA, 737 nt
Organism: Sesamum indicum (sesame)
Lineage: Eukaryota; Viridiplantae; Streptophyta; Magnoliopsida; Lamiales; Pedaliaceae
Source: RefSeq, a predicted model, not a curated record